CGAAUUUCAAAUGGCAUGAAGUAAUUAAGCGAUGGCAUAACCACAUGACCAUGUGAUUAUUAUGUUUGGCCUUUGAAAGGAUACGGAGCAAGAUGGAGGUUAGAAAAGUGAGAAUAAUGCCAUGAGCUAGGUAUGCCAUUGCAAUGUUGAUGGAAAAACUUAAUGGGCUUGCAGGGACAUCUUUAAACAGGAUGGCAUAUGCAAUAACAUUGAAAGGGAGCCAAUGAAUACAUGCACCUAAGCAAACAAAGCUGAAGUGUUGCAAACAUUGGGGCUUCUGUAAUAGCCAUAGGCAGACUGUGUAAGCAAUGGCCGCAGAUAGACAGCUGAGGAAACCAACCAUGUAGAUGCCCAGAAUAUGGUAAAAGGGCUCAAGUCUCUUGUGCCGUCCACUUAUGAUAUCUAGUAACAUGGUACCCUGCACCCAAGUUUCAGAGAAAUAAGUAGCCGAAAGGAAACUAAAGUUGAAAGAAAUAGAUAGUACUACAAACCUGUUCAACUUUAGGAGUCUCAGACCUUUUAAGUUCAUGUUGACCAUCUUUGCAAGUUUGCAAGGCCUGAAGCUCUGAUCCGUCUGCCACAUUGCUCCCUUUCUGAAGUACAGCGUAAGGACCAACACAGGAGUUUUCCCCAAUUCUGAUUGGCUCGAAACUCAAGACACCAUUCUUGACUUCAUGGCUCUGAAUCAGGGCUCCCUCAGCUAUCACUACUCCAUCUCCGAUUGUGACCAGAUAAGGGUCUGUGAUGUCAAUGGUAUCUAGAAGAACCGACGAUCCAAUUUUUGCUCCUAGCAUCUUAAACCAGAGUCUCAAAAACACUGUACCUUUUAAAUGCACUGCCAGAACUCUAGAAGAAACCUCUUGGGCUUUGUAUAGAGUCCACCAUUUCACGAAGUCAAUGGACCAGACAGAUACAUCAGGGAUUAAACCAUAGUUGGGUUGAAGAAAUGAGUUACCAAAUACCGCAACCGUCAUGCAGGAUAAACCAAUGCAAAUCAUCCAAGCAAGAGGUGCACAUGUUAAAGAUAUCAAGUAAUCGAACCAUGGGAUCCUAUCUGUCGGUCUACUGUUCUCCAAGAUUAGAGUGGAGAAAGCAGAAACCGAAAGAUAUAUGGGGAUCAUAAGCAAGAAUGAGACAUAUACGAUACCAAGGAGUUGGAAUAGACAAAUACCCAACCGAUGAUAUGAGGAAACUUCCGUUGAGAUCUUGGCUGAACUUGUCUUGUUAAUGGGGAAACCGGAUGGAGGACUCAAUAGUUCAGGGCGAGACUUUCUUACAAGAUCUUCUGCAAAAUCUGCCAAGUUAUCAAUGCAGGUAGCUGUAAAGAUGUCAAUUGCUCCAACUGGAAUGCGAAGAAAAGCAGAAAGCUUUUGAGCUGCUAGAACCACCCCAAUUGAAUCAAUCCCAUAGUUUGCCAGGCUCUCUGUGAUGGAGAUACUUGCAAUGUGAGUUCCUGUUUGAUCAGAUAGAAGCUUCUUCAGAAAGUGAAUUAUAUCUUUCUUAGAUAUAGUGGAAUUAGAAUCUACAGUGUUGGGGAUUGUAGCUUGAACCAUGGAUAUUCUUUUCCCAUGAUGUUCUUGCACGACUUGCAGCUUGCCAUCAGUGAACUGUUUUAGACAUUCAAACCUCCUUAUCUUGCCUGAUGUUGUUUUGCAAAUGCUUCUUUCUUUGAUUAAAACAAUCGAUGCAACUGUUAUGCCAUGCUCUUCUGCCACAAGUGUUUGGACUUGUUCAAUAUCUUCUUCAGGGAGACCCUUAUUCCCUCGAACCUCUGCUAUUACAACUACUCCCACUUGGUCUGAGUUUCCCAGACUUAUUAUGCCUUUACCUGUUAAGAUCUCUUCAGGAACACCUAUCACAGCGCAACAGCCUGGUCUUAUAAGGUCAGAUGAGGACUCAACCGUCUUUUCAAUAUCUGAUGAGUAUAUGUUCCUUCCAGCAACAAUAAUGAGAUCUUUAAUCCUCCCUGUGAUGAAUAACUUUCCGUCAAUAACACGUCCCAAGUCUCCACUCCGCAAGUACAUUUUCCCAAUAUGUCCUUGAAGUUUGUUCUGGAAUGUCUUCUGGCUGAGCUCUUCCAGCCCCCAAUACCCAACACCUGCACUUGGGCAACUGAUCCAGACCUCCCCUUCCUUUGCACAUUCUACUUCUUUACCUGUCUCGGGGUCAACUAUUCUGAUAUCCACAUCAGGAUCGUUUGGGCUCACGUACCCACAACAAAUCCUUCCUUGCCAAUCCUGGAAAAUUGGUUCUCCCUUUCCAUAUGCGCUGCUUACGUAAACAGUGUUCUCAGCCAUGCCAUAACCAGGAGCUAUCACCUCUUGGGAAAGUCCAAAAGGCUGAGUUAACUCAAUAAACCUUUUGAGGGUUUUUGAUCUCACUGGUUCAGCAGCAGCCAUGAGGAAAACCAUGGAAGAAAGAUCUAGCUUCACGAGAUGUUCUCGUUUGGAUUCCAAUCUUCGUAUUAACAGUUCAAAAGCAAAGUUUGGGCCAGCACUAUGAGUACCUCGGAAUUUACUCAUGGUUUGCAGCCAUAACAAGGGGUUUUUGAUAAAUGUCACAGGAGAAAAAAGUACAGCCGAUCCCCCACUAACAAGACAUGUAAAUAUACAUCCAAUGAGCCCCAUAUCGUGGUACUGAGGUAGCCAACUUACACCAACUGUCUUUGAUGUACUCUUGUAUACGUUACGCAUUAACUUCACGUUAUGAAUUAGCCCACCAUGAGUGAUCAUGACUCCUUUAGCAUCGCCUGUUGACCCAGAUGUGAAUUGAAGAAAGCACAAAUCUUGUGGUAGAACUUGAGAUUCUUUAAACAAGCUGAUGAUGCAGCCUUUCGAGUUUUUGAUCCAAGAAUCUGUAUGCAACCACGGGAGAUUCGGCCAACAACCUGAGUAUUUUGUUUUCCCGGUUAGCAUGAUCUUGUGCUUUGCAGAAUUUGCUCUAACAUACACAUGGAGGAAUGGCAGGUACUGGUAUGAUUCGAGCUUGUAGGCACCCAAAAAACGCAUCAAGGAAUUCAAGACCAGGUACAUAGACCAGAAGAACCCGAUCUCCAGGUGUAGACUGUCUUAUCUGCAGUGAGUUCAUGAGUUCCCCAGUGUCUCAAAUAACCGUGGAUAGAUACGAUAUCAGGAAACUCCACACCUGGUGCUUCAUCUAGUUGUUUAGCAAUCCAGCUGUUCUUGUCGGAUUUCAAAGUAAACAAUCUCUGCAAAAAGAUUCACACAUGCCUCCUACAGAAUGAUGUUUCUCCAGGACAGUGAUAUUAGAGUAACCAAGCUUGCAUAGUGCAUAGGCUGCUGAUAAACCACUUGGACCUGCCCCGAUUAUCCCAAUCCUCGUGUCGGUAGGAAAACAAGGAUGAAGUUUCAAAAACCGAUCUUCCAGUGCUUUUCCUGUCUCCAUAUUUUUGUGAGUAUUCAAGAUUCCUGUUGUAAAGGUCAUGCAAAAACAUUAUGCUUUAGCUAUUUGAAUAUGAUGGUUAUGAACUUCUUAGAAAUCCUAUAACUUUCGAUAUAAACAUGUAGAUUUACAUGUUUUUAA
Erigeron canadensis is the source of this 3543-nucleotide long non-coding RNA. RefSeq lists it as uncharacterized. The transcript is spliced from 4 exons. NCBI's taxonomy places the organism in Eukaryota, Viridiplantae, Streptophyta, Magnoliopsida, Asterales, Asteraceae. The record is from RefSeq and is a predicted model, not a curated record.